This 290-nucleotide ribosomal RNA is filed under the name uncultured bacterium. Its description in RNAcentral is "partial 16S ribosomal RNA". It matches the Rfam family "Bacterial small subunit ribosomal RNA", at positions 775 to 1067 of the family's 1533-position model. The record is from RNAcentral.
GGAUUAGAUACCCUGGUAGUCCACGCUGUAAACGAUGGAUGCUCGAUGUGGCGGCCUUCUUGGCCGCCUUGUCUAAGCUAACGCGUUAAGCAUCCCACCUGGGGAGUACGAUCGCAAGGUUGAAACUCAAAGGAAUUGACGGGGGCCCGCACAAGCGGUGGAGCAUGUGGCUUAAUUCGAUGCAACGCGAAGAACCUUACCUAGGCUCGAACGCAACCGGACAGCCCCUGAAAGGGGGUCUCCUUCGGGCUGGUUGCGAGGUGCUGCAUGGCUGUCGUCAGCUCGUGCCG